UUCGUUUGUGUUAUUGUUACUCAAAACUAUAAAAGUAAACAAAAAAGAAAACUACCUUUAUCUACUUUUGUCGAUGUCCAUUUCUUAAGAAGUUUCUCAUUAAAACAACCCAUAACUCCACGUCCACGCCCAUGGCAGAGCUAGGGUGGUUAGCGUAACUACAAGUGGUUAACUACAGUUAGCCAACUGAAGAACAAUGGCCGAUUAAUUAGUGGUCGCGCUACUUAUCUACUACAUGUCCCUGCUGCCAGUUAUAGCAAUAAUUUCUUUGUUGGGAAGUAUUUAGCACAUCCUGGCUGCGCAAAAGGGGAGGACUAAAUUGAUUACUAUGAACAGACCAUUACGAUGAACCACUGAUAUUGACACAGAGACAUGAAGAUGAGUGCUUUGACAACAAGACUGACUAGCUGAGCCAGCUUUAAGAAUUAUGUGGUGUGUGGUGUGUGUGUGUAAUCCCAGGAGCUCUCUAUGUCAGCCAUCCAUCUAUAUUCUUACUCAUUUUUGUUAAUUAUAAAAUAAAUUUGAUUAUUUAUA
Molecule: long non-coding RNA, 534 nt
Organism: Bicyclus anynana (squinting bush brown)
Lineage: Eukaryota; Metazoa; Arthropoda; Insecta; Lepidoptera; Nymphalidae
Exons: 2
Source: RefSeq, a predicted model, not a curated record